This is a long non-coding RNA of Panicum virgatum (switchgrass), 483 nucleotides long. RefSeq lists it as uncharacterized. The transcript has 2 exons. NCBI's taxonomy places the organism in Eukaryota, Viridiplantae, Streptophyta, Magnoliopsida, Poales, Poaceae. The record is from RefSeq and is a predicted model, not a curated record.
AGGUCCCACUCCUCACCUAACAAGAAAAUUGUCAAGAAGCUGCUGCUGGAAGACACUGCAACCGAAGACGGUGGUUGUGAACAUGAUAGUCCAAAGCCUAGUUCUAACGAUGAUGCCUAGGAGGAGGAAGAGGAAAAGCUCAUUUUGUAUUUGCACAGUUGCAAUCAUGGCUCGACAUGCAUCUGACAGUCUACUACUUGAUGCAAUCUAUUUAGCCAUUUUAGAACUUUGUGCUCUCAGCAUUACUGAACUCUCUUUUGGAUAUCGCAUGAUUGCAAACUGUGUUAUCUCCGCCUUCCUCUUAUUUGGAUCAGUAUUCCAAGCUACCUGCUAAAAUGUACGGUAGCUACUAAUGCUGAUUGUCUAAUGUAAUAUCGCUUGGCAGAAUCUACUGGCUGCAGAUGCCAUUCAAUGAACAAUAUUAGAGCUAUUAAGAUAUUUGCAUGGGAUAUUUCAUAUUAUUAUGGUUCAGUUUGUGGCACA